UACGUAGGGUGCAAGCGUUAAUCGGAAUUACUGGGCGUAAAGCGUGCGCAGGCGGUUCUAUAAGCCAGAUGUGAAAUCCCCGGGCUCAACCUGGGAACUGCAUUUGUGACUGUAGAGCUGGAGUACGGUAGAGGGGGAUGGAAUUCCGCGUGUAGCAGUGAAAUGCGUAGAUAUGCGGAGGAACACCGAUGGCGAAGGCAAUCCCCUGGACCUGUACUGACGCUCAUGCACGAAAGCGUGGGGAGCAAACAGG
RNAcentral lists this ribosomal RNA (253 nucleotides) under uncultured bacterium. RNAcentral describes it as "partial 16S ribosomal RNA". It matches the Rfam family "Bacterial small subunit ribosomal RNA", at positions 524 to 776 of the family's 1533-position model. The record is from RNAcentral.